GGAUGUAGCGUAGUUGGCCUAACGCGUCAGAUUGUGGCUCUGAAGACCGUGGGUUCAAAUCCCACCCUC
This 69-nucleotide transfer RNA is filed under the name pig gut metagenome. The stretch from base 5 to 66 matches the Rfam family "tRNA", at positions 7 to 64 of the family's 71-position model. Rfam says of the family: Transfer RNA (tRNA) molecules are approximately 80 nucleotides in length. The record is from RNAcentral.